RNAcentral lists this long non-coding RNA (428 nucleotides) under Homo sapiens (human). RNAcentral describes it as "LNC_000130". Lineage: Eukaryota; Metazoa; Chordata; Mammalia; Primates; Hominidae. The record is from RNAcentral.
UGACGAACAGCAGGACACCACAUACACAGGCACUGCUUUGUUUUUACCUCCGUCUGUGCUAUUGUCUCCUCAGUUACAGUGGGUCCCUCUGUUACACUUUCAGCCUCUUUAUACUCUGCUUCCCCAUACUCAUAGUCAUAUUCGAUUAUAUCCUCUGGUGCAUACUCAUCUAUCUGAGGUUCCUGAGCUUGAGCAGCCUUGGGUGCUGAAGAGUCACAGUCUGGACUAUAAUGCUCACAGUAGUCAUAUGCUGCCUUGGGAUCACCUGUGAUCAAAAACUGCUGAAUGUCCCCCUCAAAAACUUCUUCAUCCAAAAUCCUUGUUCCAAAAACCGUGAUUCCAUUGGUAUCAACAAUUGCUCUCUCACUUCUAUCAAGUGGUUUCGUGGUUUUCUUCUUACAAUCAACAAUCAUUGUCACAGUUUUCUU